ACUUUGCCCUUUUAUAUGACAUGAAUUUUUACGGCUAUACUUAGUGUAUCAGUGUUAGCACUAGGGCGGAUGUUAGUGUUAGGAUGAAGGUUAGGCUCGGGCUGCUACCAGGGAGUGUAACUCCCACUAAUCCUGACUAGAUGGGGACUUGUAUGUCACAGCAGUUCCUGAGAUCGGGGGUCUAUCAUGAAUGAUGUCACAUCCACGGUCCACAAUAUUCUAAAACACGUUCUAUUGUUUGCACUGCGCGUCACAUAAAGUGCAACAUAAAGUGUGUUAGGUCUAUUGGAUUCCAGAGUCUAAAAUUAUAAAAUCCGUAAUUG
Non-coding RNA from Pelobates cultripes (western spadefoot toad), 323 nucleotides. The record is from the annotation of a GenBank genome assembly. NCBI's taxonomy places the organism in Eukaryota, Metazoa, Chordata, Amphibia, Anura, Pelobatidae.